GCAGCUACAUAAAUUCUCAAGUGC
RNAcentral lists this non-coding RNA (24 nucleotides) under Arabidopsis thaliana (thale cress). Lineage: Eukaryota; Viridiplantae; Streptophyta; Magnoliopsida; Brassicales; Brassicaceae. The record is from RNAcentral.